This 74-nucleotide transfer RNA is filed under the name Chloroflexota bacterium. RNAcentral's name for it is "tRNA-Gln". It matches the Rfam family "tRNA". Rfam says of the family: Transfer RNA (tRNA) molecules are approximately 80 nucleotides in length. The record is from RNAcentral. Lineage: Bacteria; Bacillati; Chloroflexota. RNAcentral also lists the same sequence under 2 other names.
UGGGGUGUCGUCUAACGGUAGGACGCCUGUCUCUGGAACAGGUAGUUGGGGUUCGAAUCCCUGCACCCCAGCCA